GCGAUCCCGCUCGACCGUCCCCAGGCCUUGCAAUCCAUCCAUUAGAAACAAAACAACAACAACAAAAAUCCAUCCGCUAACCAACAUUUCUGCACAGGCUGCUUUCCCUGGUGAUGAGAAAUUAAGUCCACGCGGAUGUCCCCAUCGCCGGAUAGUUAAGGUGGCCGAAACCCAGAGUGCCAACCGUUCUCACGGCCUACGCCACGUUUGCGGCGGGCUUGCCACAUGUCGUGCGUGGUGCCUCUUCGGGUCAGCCCAGACCCAUAAGGAGUGGGGAGUACUACGGUUUCCAGAUGGAAAAGUGGAGGCUCUGAGAAGCAAGGUAGCUUGCCUAGGACCCCAGGGACAGCCGGCGGUGGCCCUGUGAUGCUGCCUGACUCCACAGCACCCCAGGCCCCCCCCCCAUUUUAAACAAACGGCUGAGAAUCGCAGACCAUUUGGCAGGAAAGACCCCCAGGGAGGCCAUAACCUGCUGAUUGAGGAGGACUGGGGCUCAGACAAGGGGAGGAGCUUGCUCAGGGACACAGCAAGACCACGCCCCCGGGUUGGGGUGUUCUUGGGUCCACCCCACUGCCAACCAGCCAGAGGGAGCCAGUGAGCUUGUGCCCUCUUCCAAUGCCACCACUCAGCGGCGUUCACCCUUGUAUGUGCACCGGGUGGAGGUGGGGGGUGCGUUGCAUGGUACAGAUUCCUGGCACCCCCCUCCGAGGUCGGGACAAGAGCCCAGGAAUUGGCAUGUUAUGAAGCACUGUCAUUGAAGAGGACAAUCUGGUGGCCCUGGGCCCCACCCCCAGAGCCCGUAGCUCACACCCCUCCAGAAGGGUGUUCCCAGCGGGGCCUGGGGCAGGAGGUCUUGAGAGGCCCCAGGGAGGCCCCCCUCCCCCUCCAGAUGCGGUCCAGGGAAUAGCGUUUGGAAUCCCAGGGAACUCCGGCACAGCCGGGCUUUGGCCAAAAGCAUCACUAAUCACCUGGACAGCGACGGCCAGUCCAUGCAGUCCUCCCGGCAGCUGUCGGCGGAUCUCAGUGCUGCCCCACGGCUUGGAUGGGGAAAUGGAGGCCGCCCACAGGAAGUGGCCUGGCGGGCCAGGGCCAAGACCACACCCAGCGAUCCCCAGGCCAGGGACCCUCCCCAGCCCAGCAGGUCUUCCCUACCUUGGCUCCACUGGACACAAUCUUCGAAAGCGUCAGGCCAGUGAACGGUCUGAUUUUGCCAGAGGCCCGAGACCCGGACCCAGGCAGACCCUGGUCACACUGAGCCUUAAAAGGAAGCACGGCGAUCCCUUCAAAGCCGAGCCCUAGAGCGCAAACCUUCUGGGUCCUCCUCUCGGCUCAGAUGCUAAGACCUUAAUCUCCAGGCCUCGGAUUUGGCCUGGUGGCCGGGCUCCCCAGUCCUCGGGCGAUGCGUGUUUCUGGCACCUGCGUGUGCGCGGGUCACCAUCCAGUUUCAGAUGAGAAAGCACCUCCUGUGGGAAGCCCUCCCGUCUCCUGAUGCCAGAUGCUGCCCCGUGGUGGCUUCGGCUACGGUUCUUACGUCGGUGGGAAGGGAGCACACCGAAGCUGUCCAGUGCCACAAGCCCACGGGGUUUGCUGCUUGCUGUAUCUUCAGUGAAGGUUGUGUGCCAUGCACACCGUAGGUGCUCAAGGAACCUCUGCAGGAUGAGCCCUGGGAGCCCCUGAAAAUGGGCAUUCCCUCCACUGUUGGCUCCAGGGGGACACACCCAGGAGGAUGCUGGCACCUGCAGGGUUCCUCUCGGAGGAUCCUUGGUUUUUGCAGAUGAAUGAGUGGGAGGCAUCUUGGCUCUUGACAGAGCCACCAGCCUGUGGGGCCUCAGUUAGCCUUUCUGUGAAAUGGGCGUCAUGAACGCAGCCUUUCCUACUGAAUUCUUAGGUUUUCCUCCUGGGUGUCUCCUUCAAUCACGAAUGGUUUUUAACAUUCACACUGCUUCUGACACCAGAUGUGUGGGUUCUCCCCCCACAUCCCACAAUUCUGUGACACCAGCUGGACGUCCUACAAUUCAACCUCAGUUCUGACACUGGCUGGGGGCAGCAUCAGAUCCCACAGGUUCAGGGCCCAGUCCCAUAAGACCUCCCUCCACCUCGGGUGCCAACGGCAAGUGGUAGGUGCAGAGGUUGCCCACGACUUCUUCUGACUUGGCUACAAACCAGAAGUUGCCAGGACCUUGUCCGCCUUGGAUUUGAUUCUUUACUAGAACAGCGCAGAGAACUCAGGGAAACACUUCUGUUUGCUGUAUUAAAGGCUCUGAUAAGGAUCCAGAUGAACAGCCAGGUGAAGAGGUAUAUGGGGUGAGGUCAGGGAGGGUCCCCGACACAGGAGCUUCUGUCCCUGUGGAGUUGG
This 2356-nucleotide long non-coding RNA is filed under the name Canis lupus familiaris (dog). RNAcentral describes it as "lncRNA (ENSCAFG00000051578.1)". Lineage: Eukaryota; Metazoa; Chordata; Mammalia; Carnivora; Canidae. The record is from RNAcentral.